AUUGAACGCUGGCGGCAGGCCUAACACAUGCAAGUCGAACGGUAACACGAAGAACCUUCCUUCCUUGCUUACGAGGGGCGGAGGGGAGUGACAUGUGUGGGAAACACCCAGACGGAGGGGGUUAACUACUGGAAACGGUACCUAAUACCGCAUAAAGUUGCAAGCGCAAGGUUGGGGACUUUCGGGCUUCUUGGCAGCGGCUGUUCCCAGAUGGCAUUAGCUAGUAGGUAGGGUAACGGCUUACCUAGGCAACGAUCCGUAGCGGGUCUGAGAGGAUGACCGGCCACACUGGAACUGAGACACGGUCCAGACUCCUACGGGAGGCAGCAGUAGGGAAUAUUGCACAAUGGGCGCAAGCCUGAUGCAGCCACGCCGCGUGUAUGAAGAAGGCCUUCGGGUUGUAAAGUACUUUCAGUGGGGAGGAAGAGAGGUGUAAUUAUACCUUUGCUCAUUGACGUUACCCGCUGAAGUAGCACCGGCUAACUCCGUG
RNAcentral lists this ribosomal RNA (490 nucleotides) under uncultured bacterium. Its description in RNAcentral is "partial 16S ribosomal RNA". It matches the Rfam family "Bacterial small subunit ribosomal RNA", at positions 30 to 507 of the family's 1533-position model. The record is from RNAcentral.